UACGUAGGGUGCGAGCGUUGUCCGGAAUUAUUGGGCGUAAAGAGCUCGUAGGCGGUCUGUCGCGUCUGCUGUGAAAACCUGGGGCUUAACCCCGGGUCUGCAGUGGAUACGGGCAGGCUAGAGUUCGGCAGGGGAGACUGGAAUUCCUGGUGUAGCGGUGAAAUGCGCAGAUAUCAGGAGGAACACCGGUGGCGAAGGCGGGUCUCUGGGCCGAUACUGACGCUGAGGAGCGAAAGCGUGGGGAGCGAACAGG
This 253-nucleotide ribosomal RNA is filed under the name uncultured bacterium. RNAcentral's name for it is "partial 16S ribosomal RNA". It matches the Rfam family "Bacterial small subunit ribosomal RNA", at positions 524 to 776 of the family's 1533-position model. The record is from RNAcentral.